AUACCAAUCCUAGCACAUAUACUAAAAACUGGAAUGAUAGAGGAGAUUAGCAUGGCCCCUGUACAAAGGAUGCCAUGCAAAUUCAUGAAGCACUCCAUAUAAAA
Ailuropoda melanoleuca (giant panda) is the source of this 104-nucleotide small nuclear RNA. NCBI's taxonomy places the organism in Eukaryota, Metazoa, Chordata, Mammalia, Carnivora, Ursidae. The record is from Ensembl.